UUAUCUAUAGUGUGCAGGCCUCAA
Molecule: non-coding RNA, 24 nt
Filed under: Gossypium hirsutum (cotton)
Lineage: Eukaryota; Viridiplantae; Streptophyta; Magnoliopsida; Malvales; Malvaceae
Source: RNAcentral